UACGUAGGGUGCGAGCGUUAAUCGGAAUUACUGGGCGUAAAGGGUGCGCAGGCGGCGUCGCAAGUCAGGCGUGAAAUCCCCGGGCUUAACCUGGGAACUGCACUUGAAACUACGAUGCUGGAGUAUGGCAGAGGGAGGUGGAAUUCCACGUGUAGCGGUGAAAUGCGUAGAUAUUGGGAGGAACACCGGUGGCGAAGGCGGCCCCCUGGACCGGUACUGACGCUGAGGCGCGAAAGCGUGGGUAGCAAACGGG
RNAcentral lists this ribosomal RNA (253 nucleotides) under uncultured prokaryote. Its description in RNAcentral is "partial 16S ribosomal RNA". It matches the Rfam family "Bacterial small subunit ribosomal RNA", at positions 524 to 776 of the family's 1533-position model. The record is from RNAcentral.